UGGAAGACUCGUCGGCACCGAGGUAUAAUUCACAGCAUGCAAUUUCUCGGUUCAUUUAAGGUGAUCUACAUUUCUCUGACGAGUCUCUUUUCCCGGUUUCCAGAGCUUGAGGUCAUUUCUGGGAGAAGAAAACCUUAAGGAAUUUAUAAACUUUACACUGCAUUAUAUCGCUGACUUGGAUAUCCCCAUAAAAAGGGGUACAUUCAUAGAAUUCCGAAGUGGGAU
Molecule: long non-coding RNA, 225 nt
Organism: Hibiscus syriacus
Lineage: Eukaryota; Viridiplantae; Streptophyta; Magnoliopsida; Malvales; Malvaceae
Exons: 3
Source: RefSeq, a predicted model, not a curated record